CUGCAAUCUUCAGAUCUGACGGUUUCCUUCUUCUCGUUGCCAUGGCAACUCGGUAGGACAGCUUCGAGUGGCAGGAAUUCUUACAGACCUAAAGGAGGGGAGAUGGGGCUAGGGCUUGUCCAGAUGGGUUGAGCAGCAAAGCAGACACCUGGAUUGCCCUCACCUGCCUGGCCUUUCCCUGCAGCAGCACCUCAGCUCUGGAAAACAAAGCUCUGUCUCCAUAACUGGUCUCAG
This is a long non-coding RNA of Myiozetetes cayanensis, 234 nucleotides long. RefSeq lists it as uncharacterized. Lineage: Eukaryota; Metazoa; Chordata; Aves; Passeriformes; Tyrannidae. The record is from RefSeq and is a predicted model, not a curated record. The transcript is spliced from 3 exons.